AGAGUUUGAUCCUGGCUCAGAUUGAACGCUGGCGGCAUGCUUUACACAUGCAAGUCGAACGGUAACGCGGGGGCAACUCUGGCGACGAGUGGCGAACGGGUGAGUAAUACAUCGGAACAUGUCCUGGAGUGGGGGAUAGCUCGGCGAAAGCCGGAUUAAUACCGCAUACGCUCUGAGGAGGAAAGCGGGGGACCGUAAGGCCUCGCGCUGCAGGAGUGGCCGAUGUCGGAUUAGCUAGUUGGUGAGGUAAAGGCUCACCAAGGCGACGAUCCGUAGCUGGUCUGAGAGGAUGAUCAGCCACACUGGGACUGAGACACGGCCCAGACUCCUACGGGAGGCAGCAGUGGGGAAUUUUGGACAAUGGGGGCAACCCUGAUCCAGCCAUGCCGCGUGAGUGAAGAAGGCCUUCGGGUUGUAAAGCUCUUUCGGACGGGACGAAAUGGUUACGGUGAAUAACUGUGACUGAUGACGGUACCGUAAUAAGAAGCACCGGCUAACUACGUGCCAGCAGCCGCGGUAAUACGUAGGGUGCGAGCGUUAAUCGGAAUUACUGGGCGUAAAGCGUGCGCAGGCGGUUCGCCAAGUCAGGUGUGAAAUCCCCGGGCUUAACCUGGGAAUUGCGCUUGAAACUAGCGGGCUUGA
Molecule: ribosomal RNA, 642 nt
Filed under: uncultured bacterium
Lineage: Bacteria
Description: bacterial SSU rRNA
Rfam family: Bacterial small subunit ribosomal RNA
Source: RNAcentral